GGGCCUACGGGGGGCAGCAGUAAGGGAUAUUGGUCAAUGGGGGAAACCCUGAACCAGCAACGCCGCGUGAGGGAAGACGGUUUUCGGAUUGUAAACCUCUGUCCUCUGUGAAGAUGAUGACGGUAGCAGAGGAGGAAGCUCCGGCUAACUACGUGCCAGCAGCCGCGGUAAUACGUAGGGAGCGAGCGUUGUCCGGAAUUACUGGGCGUAAAGGGCGCGUAGGUGGGCGCUUAAGUCAGGUGUGAAAACUCCGGGCUCAACCUGGAGACUGCACUUGAAACUGGGUGUCUUGAGGGCAGGAGAGG
Molecule: ribosomal RNA, 305 nt
Filed under: uncultured bacterium
Lineage: Bacteria
Description: bacterial SSU rRNA
Rfam family: Bacterial small subunit ribosomal RNA
Source: RNAcentral